CCUACGGGAGGCAGCAGUGGGGAAUAUUGCACAAUGGGGGAAACCCUGAUGCAGCGACGCCGCGUGAGUGAAGAAGUAAUUCGUUUUGUAAAGCUCUAUCAGCAGGGAAGAAAAUGACGGUACCUGAGUAAGAAGCCCCGGCUAACUACGUGCCAGCUGCCGAGGUAAUACGUAGGGGGCCAGCGUUAUCCGGAUUUACUGGGUGUAAAGGGUGUUCAGGCGGUUUUGCAAGUUGGAUGUGAAAGCCACGGGCUUAACCUGGGAAAGGCAUACAUGACUGGAAGACUAGAGUUCGUCAGAGGGGGGUGGAAUUCCAAGUGUAGCAGUGAAAUGCGUAGAUAUUUGGAAGAACACCGAUGGCGAAGGCAGCCCCCUGGGACGCAACUGACGCUCAUACACGAAAGCGUGGGGAGCAAACAGGAUUAGAUACCCUGGUAGUC
RNAcentral lists this ribosomal RNA (440 nucleotides) under uncultured bacterium. RNAcentral's name for it is "partial 16S ribosomal RNA". It matches the Rfam family "Bacterial small subunit ribosomal RNA", at positions 338 to 795 of the family's 1533-position model. The record is from RNAcentral.